GACGAACGCUGGCGGCGUGCCUAAUACAUGCCAGUUGAGCGAUGAAGAUUGGUGCUUGCACCAAUUUGAAGAGCAGCGCACGGGUGAGUAACGCGUGGGGAAUCUGCCUUUGAGCGGGGGACAACAUUUGGAAACGAAUGCUAAUACCGCAUAACAACUUUAAACAUAAGUUUUAAGUUUGAAAGAUGCAAUUGCAUCACUCAAAGAUGAUCCCGCGUUGUAUUAGCUAGUUGGUGAGGUAAAGGCUCACCAAGGCGAUGAUACAUAGCCGACCUGAGAGGGUGAUCGGCCACAUUGGGACUGAGACACGGCCCAAACUCCUACGGGAGGCAGCAGGAGGGAAUCUUCGGCAAUGGACGAAAGUCUGACCGAGCAACGCCGCGGGAGUGAAGAAGGUUGUCGGAUCGUAAAACUCUGUUGGUAGAGAAGAACGUUGGUGAGAGUGGAAAGCUCAUCAAGUGACGGUAACUACCCAGAAAGGGACGGCUAACUACGUG
RNAcentral lists this ribosomal RNA (497 nucleotides) under uncultured bacterium. RNAcentral's name for it is "partial 16S ribosomal RNA". It matches the Rfam family "Bacterial small subunit ribosomal RNA", at positions 28 to 507 of the family's 1533-position model. The record is from RNAcentral.